Salmo salar (Atlantic salmon) is the source of this 54-nucleotide non-coding RNA. The record is from Rfam. NCBI's taxonomy places the organism in Eukaryota, Metazoa, Chordata, Actinopteri, Salmoniformes, Salmonidae.
UUUCAAUUAUGUUGUAAGUCACUCUGGAUUAGAGUGUCUGCUAAAUGACUAAAA